AUCGGCUGCGCAGGCCGGUCGGCGUGUGGGGCAAAAUCGUGGGCUCACUGUGCGCGAUUGCCGGUGUACUGACAAUCGCACUGCCCGUACCGGUUAUCGUCAGCAAC
Anopheles epiroticus is the source of this 107-nucleotide non-coding RNA. NCBI's taxonomy places the organism in Eukaryota, Metazoa, Arthropoda, Insecta, Diptera, Culicidae. The record is from Rfam.